GAUGAACGCUAGCUACAGGCUUAACACAUGCAAGUCGAGGGGAAACGACAUCGAAAGCUUGCUUUUGAUGGCGACCGGCGCACGGGUGAGUAACGCGUAUCCAACCUUCCCCUGUCCACGGGAUAGCCCGUCGAAAGGCGGAUUAAUACCGUAUGAGGUCACACGAUGGCAUCAGACUGUGACGAAAGGUUUGGCGGACAGGGAUGGGGAUGCGUCCGAUUAGGUAGUCGGCGGGGUAACGGCCCACCGAGCCGACGAUCGGUAGGGGUUCUGAGAGGAAGGUCCCCCCACAUUGGAACUGAGACACGGUCCAAACUCCUACGGGAGGCAGCAGUGAGGAAUAUUGGUCAAUGGGCGAAAGCCUGAACCAGCCAAGUAGCGUGCAGGAUGACGGCCCUCUGGGUUGUAAACUGCUUUUAGUCGGGAAUAAAAUGCGGCACGUGUGCCGCUUUGCAUGUACCGUCAGAAAAAGGACCGGCUAAUUCCGUG
RNAcentral lists this ribosomal RNA (489 nucleotides) under uncultured bacterium. RNAcentral's name for it is "bacterial SSU rRNA". It matches the Rfam family "Bacterial small subunit ribosomal RNA", at positions 28 to 507 of the family's 1533-position model. The record is from RNAcentral.